GCGUGGUGGCAACUUGUCUAUUUCACGUAUUUUAACCCUUGUUUACACCACAUGCUGUAGGUACUAUCAUUGCCCCAUUUUACAGAUGAAGAAACAGAGGCUUCGGCCGCUUGCCCGAGAUCCUGCGGCUGUUCUGGAGGUCAGACGUCUAAAAUCAAGGUGUCAACAGGACUGCGUUCCUUUCUGGAGGAAACAGGUGAACCCAUUUCCUUGCCUUUUUCAGCGUCUAGCAACCGCCUACAUUCCUUGGCUUGUGGCCCCUUCCUUGCAAUCACUGCAGCCUCUGCCUCUGUCACUGUGUCUCCUUCUCUAACUCUGACCCUCCCACCUGGCUCUUAUUUUUUUUAUUUUUUAUUUUUUGAGACAGAGUUUCACUCUUGUUGCCCAGGCUGGAGUACAAUGGCGUGAUCUCGCUCACUGCAACCUCCGCCUCCCAGGUUCAAGCGAUUAUCCUGCCUCAGCCUCCCAAGUAGCUGGGAUUACAGGCGUGUACCACCAUGCCCAGCUAAUAUUUUGUAUUUUUAGUAGAGACAGGGUUUCACCAUGUUGGCCAGCCUGGUUUCAAACUCACGACCUCAGGUGAUCCUUGGCUUCCCAAAAUGCUGGGAUUACAGGCAUAAGCCACCAUGCCCGGCCUCCACCUCCCUCUUAUAAAGACCCUUGUGAUGAUAUUGGGCAUAUCCAGAUAAUCCGAGAUACCCCCCCA
RNAcentral lists this long non-coding RNA (706 nucleotides) under Macaca nemestrina (pig-tailed macaque). Its description in RNAcentral is "lncRNA (ENSMNEG00000045719.1)". The record is from RNAcentral. Lineage: Eukaryota; Metazoa; Chordata; Mammalia; Primates; Cercopithecidae.